UACGGGGGGAGCAAGCGUUGUUCGGAUUUACUGGGCGUAAAGGGCGCGUAGGCGGCCACCGCAAGUCGACUGUGAAAUCUCCGGGCUUAACCCGGAACGGUCAGCCGAUACUGCGGGGCUAGAGUGCAGAAGGGGCAACUGGAAUUCUCGGUGUAGCGGUGAAAUGCGUAGAUAUCGAGAGGAACACCUGCGGCGAAGGCGGGUUGCUGGGCUGACACUGACGCUGAGGCGCGAGAGCGUGGGGAGCAAACCGG
Molecule: ribosomal RNA, 254 nt
Filed under: uncultured bacterium
Lineage: Bacteria
Description: partial 16S ribosomal RNA
Rfam family: Bacterial small subunit ribosomal RNA
Source: RNAcentral